AGAGAGGGGAGCGCGAUCGGUGGUGCCUCGUGGGCUGGCCGGGCUGCUGCCGGGGCUCAGCGGCCGCAGACGGUGGAUUUGUGGGAAGCGGACGGGAUGAGAAAUAAACGCACCUGGCCAGCGGUGUUUAGGGGAGUGGGGGCCGGGUGCCCCCGCUGGCUGCCGGAGCCCUCGGACUCCGGACUCGGACCCGCCGAGCUGCAAUGGACGCUGCCCGCCGCUGGCCGCAGAGCGGAGCAUUCCCGCCGCCGCCGCCGCCGCUGAGGAGGGAGAGCUGCCCGCCCGGAGCCGGCCGGAGCGCGCCUCUAUCGCCCGGAGAGGGACCGGGGGUUUCCUCUUCGGCAUCGCUCCGGUGAACGUGGGCUGUGCCAACCGGGCGCCCACGUAGGUUGCAUGGCAGCCGCGGCGCGAGCGAAUAGAACUCCAUGGAUGUAUUCGAAGUAAGCGCCGGGAGCAUUUGGUGAUGUUUGGGGGAGGAAGGCACAAGCCACCAAGGCCCUAUUCCCUCCAUCUUGAGCCUUCCAUGGUGAUAUGCAGCAGCACAGGGAAGUAUGAAGCACUGAGGACAGAAGUCAGCGUUUAAACUUAACUUUGCUUCAACGUAAAUGACCAUGCAAGUUUCAGAUUAACUAAGGGAGGACCAGGGGUAGAAUAGCAGAAGUACUUAAGGUGCUUCUUUUAAAAGUUCUGUUUUGCAUAUCUAAAGAUUAGGGAGAUGUUUAGAAAAGUGAUUAUAUACAUGUGCUUAUGUUUACUGUCCUAACAGGAGAUGAUGAUCCGCAUUAUCUUAAAUGCUAGAUAUGUCUUGGAUGCAUCUGUGUCACCUCAUUGAUUUCAGGGGAUCUGUAUUGAUUUAAGUUAGUGAAGGCACUAACCCAGCUAAGUUUUAAAUAAUUAGAAUAGUAUUCUCCCUCUUUUUCAGUCAGAUUUGCCCUUCAUGUUACUUGUGUUUCAUAAUCCUCCUAGCUCUCCAUUUUGUCAUUACAAGACCAGCAUCUCUACUGUAGGAAAAAAAAAAAAAAAGAGAGAGAGAGGACACCCCCCACCUCCCUCCCAAAGAUAGUCUUUUAACAAUCUGCUCUUUAUAUUAAUGUUUAAAUAAAUUUAGGACACCAAUGAACCGUUUUUUUUAAUAGGCCCAUUUAGUUUCAGUUUCUUACACAGUUAUUUUUUAGAGCCAGAAGCUCUCAGGAAGAGAAUGUGUUCGAUGCACCAGAACCCUUUAGGGUUUUGAUAAAAGACAUGAUCUCAUGAGUACCAUCUCCACUUCUGUUAUUCUUCUUAUAUAGUAGCAACAAGAUUGAAUCACCAUUUUUAGCUAUUCUUCGGCAGAACUCAUAAUCUAUCAAUGUGUCAGCUCAACAGCAGUUUUCUCUUCGCACUAAUGUGAACCAGAAGGUCCAGCUAUCACUGAUUUUGACAAUUUUAUUUUAUCUGAGAUUGCAUGUAUUGCAGAAGUUUGAAGCAAAUGAAUUAUAGGACCUAUUAUAUUUUCCUAAAGAUGUACAGAACAUAAAAUAUGUCAUCUAAAACAUUUCAAACUAAUUUGUAUCAGAUAACAUUCCUAUGUUAGGUGCUUCAUAAGCCUUACGCUAUAAGCACUAUUAAAUAUUUGUGUGAUAAAUAACAAGUAUAAGAUCAAAUGUGGGUUCCGUAUUUUUUUUAAUGCCUCAGAGUGCCCUCUGUGUUGUUACAUAAUGCAUCAUAAAGAAAUACGUGCCUUCAUUCUCUUAAAAUCACUCCGGCAUGGAUAGUACUAAGCUUUCCUUCCAGUCCUCGUUAUGCAAGUCCUUGCUACUGCUAAUAGCUGUCAGCUCUGUAUGGUUACUUAAAAAACAAGGUAACUGCAGACUUUUUGUGAAGCUCCUUGCAUUUCUGGAAUUUACAGUGAGUUGAUUCCAGGUGCGUUGCUCCUUCUCCCAGCUUUAAAUUAAAUUAUUAUGAACAAGCAGAUUUUCCCCCAUCAGAAGAAAGUCCCACUCAUUCCAGUAUAUCACACGGUAGUCUGUUUUUUUGUUUAGGUGCGUCUAUAAGCAUUUUAUAUUAUGAGUAUCUGAAUGCACUUCAGUGUCAAAACACAGUGGAAUAGACCAGAAUGCAGUAAUAUUUUGAACGUCUGUUGGAAAAUGCAGGCAUAUAACUAAGUACUGAAAGAAUACAUAGCACAGUAAAAAAUCCAUGACCAAUCUAGCAAAGCUAUUAGGUAACAAAAAAAAAUCCAUAUAGGCAUUAAGUACUAUUAUUUAAAGUAAAAUCUCUGUUAUAAGCAGCAUUCAAGUGAAAUUGAUGAGACAUCUAUAUAGAACAGAAAGAAUCCUUUUUGUACAGCCAUGAUGCAACCUUCUGUAUUUCUUUACUUAGGAAACAGAAUUUUACUUGUCUUUUUGUAAAGCCGUAAAAUUAACAGCAAGCUCUUCAGAGAAUUAGGAACACUGCCUGACUUGUGAGAUUUUUUUUUUCCUCUGUGAAACACAGAGAUCAUUGGUGGCAAAAAAUCAGGAGAAACCUGUCUGGAUUUUCCAGUGUCAUGUAGAUCUUUUUGAGUGCCCCGUCCUUUAAGAAGGCCUCGGUUUUAAAGGUAUUGACAUGGAAAUAUCUCAAAAUUUGUCAUCCUGACUAUAUAUAGAAAAAUUUUGCUCUUCAUUAUACCAGUAGAAGUAUACAAGUAGUAACUCAGUGAUGUGUCACCUAGAAAAGAGGGUUGGUUUCAUAUUCCAUUGAUAGAUUUAUUAGUUUAACAAUCCUCUAUUGCAUUUCUAAAUUUUUUUAAUCUUUUUGUUGCUCUCGUAAAUUUGAGGUACUAGCUUAUUUGUUUAUUUCCAUUUUCUUACUUGUAAUAAUUUUGAAAGGUUCAACUAUAUUCUGUUCGGAUUUUAUGACACAUGGAAGAUAUUUUUUUUUAAUUCCUUUUGCAAGCAGUGGGUUGGUGGGAGGAGGUCUACACUGUAACACAGUAUACCUACGAAAUUGUUCUCCAGAUAAAAUAAGAGAUAAAAUUACAGAAACAAGUAAUUUGUCGCCGAUAUUCAUGCAGUGCUGGUAUUUUAUUUCAAGCUGGAUUCAUCAAACACGAUAAGGAGUAAUUUUUGUCUGAUAUGAAGUUCCCAUCUAAGGAGACUAAGUGGUUUAAGUUUAAACUGUGGUUUGAAAAUACAGGGAAACGUUACUGGACAGUUGAGAGUUUGAUUCAGUAGCCAAAGAGGACGCAAGGAAGUAAAUUGGAGAAUGCUUUUUUUUUUAGUGUUUGAAAUAUGUCAGGAAAAUACAUCACUAAUACAUUUCUGUGGAGCAGUUACUUUACCUACAAGAUGGUUUUGCCUAUGAAGCACAAGGAUUUUACCACAAGCGUCUGAAUUAUGUAGGUUAUAAAGGGUUCUGAGGCUGUCAGAAAGCAAGCAUGAAAUGUUGAUGUGUGACCCUCAGAUAUUUGAGCGACAUUUACUGACCGCUUUUGCAGUAUUUUGUAAGUUCGUAACAUAGUUUUAGUAAUAAAAAUUUAGUGAAAAUGUAUGAGGUAAGCACUGGUGUAAUACUGAUUAGAGGUUUUUUAGAUGGGCCAAUUACCAUAUUUAGUAAAGUAGAAUAAAAAUGAGAUGACCUGGGACUAAGAUUACUUUAAAAGGGAGAUUUUUAAAAAAAUUAGUAUUGGACUUAUUCUUAGUUAGUAUUAAUUGCUAUUUUUUUAAUACAGUUUUCUCUUUUGUUAAGUUCCAUCGCUCUUUGUUCCGAAAUACCGUGUCCCGACACCGAAAGGGGGAAAUAUAAUGGCUACAAUUAGCUUCUGUUUACUGGAGCAAAAUGAUUUUUUCCCAAACCUAAAUACAUGCAUUAAUUUGCUAGACUUCCAGCUAUUUUUACGUGUGGUAUUUCUGAGAAAGAGAUACCGAUGUCCAUUUUAAUGCAGCUUACUAUAGUAUAGCAGCCGAAAUCGAGCGUUUUUUCUCUUUGGUAGUCAGAUAUACAGAAUUGUUGGACUGUUUGCUUGUAAGUACCUUAAAGCUGAAUCGGAAAAAACAUAUUUUUGAUACAAAAAGUUAGGCUUUCCAGUCUUUACUUACUUUUGAGUUUUCUAGGUAAAUGCUGCGUAGACUGAUUAUCAGAAAAAUCGAGGCUUACAUAAUCAAGACAUUCAUUUUUCUACUGCCUCCCUUCCCCCACUUAGCUUUCAUUUUACUAAGAAAAAUGAAAAAUUUUGAGAAGAAACUUACUAUGACAUACUGAUUAUAUACACAUUUUCAUGAGACUGCAUAGCUAAGCUAUUUGUAUGUAUUUAGUAAAAGAAAGCAGCAGGCAAAGUAUUAAAACCUUGAGCUGGCUAAACUUUAAAAUUAUAGUAAAUAAAUACAGCAUUAUCUAAGAUGCUGUACCUAGCUGUGUAGCAAUGAGUCUUUUUUCUUUGCAUGGGGAAUUAGAGUACUUCUAUGUUGUCUUUAUUCAGAAUAACAAAAAUAAGAACGUCGUACCCCAUUUUUUUAUUCGUUGUAAAGCUGAUGUUCUUUCCUAAGGGAGUUGGUUCAAUACCCAACUUUCAGAGGAUGAGUAGUGAUUGUUAUUGACAAAAUAUAUAUCAAAUGAAUCAAAACUCUGUCCUGCUAGAUAAUUACAAAUUGAAUUAACUAAAAGGAAUAAUAUUAAAAUUUUAUCUAAAUAUGUUAACAUGAGCUCUUACCCAUAGGUGGCAGUCAUCUUUCACAGUAGCAGGGAUGCCAAACUUUUGGUUCGUGGUAUUCAUACUUAUGCUGAAAUAAUUUUGAUGAGGUAUGCGUAUGUGCAUGUACAUAAGCAUAUACAUUUCUGUAUGUUGGGAGAGGGGGAAGGAGGUAAAAAUAACUGUAAAAUUAAUUAGUAAUUGGGAGGAAUCUGAAUUGCUAUAAAUAAGCAAUAAGAUAAGGAAUUAUCACAUUCUGGAAAAAAGGUCCAGGUAUUUAAAACCACAAACCAUAUUUUUUUACUGUCCAUUGCUGACGCUCAUCUAAAUUAAGUAGUGAUAAAUCAGAAAUGAGCCAGUAGCCCUACAAAUUGAACAGGAAGACUAGUAUCUUGCCAGCCUGAGAGAACAUGACCCUGUAUCAUGCCUGGUCCUCCAAACUACGUUUCUGUUUCGUCGCCCAUUAUAUGUAAAUUGCAGAACGGCCACAGUGAUGAUGGUGCCCUGAAAAUCCCAGCAAUAAGCUCCCUUAAACAUUGAGCAAAUAUAGGAAAGGUACUCUGGUUGCAGGUGUCCUUUCAGCCAUGGAGAGCAAGCAAAACCUGCAGGCUGCUGUGCUGUUCUCUGUCUCUUUGCAGAGCUGCCAUUGACACCCGUGGCAGCACGGUGCAAGGGGAGGACGCUGCCUGCCGGAGCAGCUCGGUUUUACCCUCAGCUUUUUGAGGGAUUUAUGUGGUUUAUGGGGAUUUCCUUUUGCAAUACUGCUAAGGAGGCGCUUGGGGCCCCACCAAAACCGAAGGGGAUAGAAGGAGCUAAUAAGGCCAAGUCAUCUCAGUCUAAAACAAACAGAACUUGUGAAACUACACGUGUCAUAGUGAGACGAUAACAUUCUUCUAAGAAAAGAACACCGAAACCUGGAAUUCAGGGGUAGGUGAAGUCAUAUUCUUUUUUCUAUUACAGCUACACUGGGACUCUUUUCAGUUAAUAUUAAUCUAAUAUUGUGUCAAGGUAGGCCACUCUACACAUUCAGCAGAAGUCAGGAACUAGCAUUUUACAAAAUGGAAAAUUUGAAAAAUAGACAAUUAUGUGUUGCUACUACAGUGUUUCACUGUGAUGCAAGAUUAAGGGCUCAGAAUUGAGCAGAAUGGUGCAGUAUUAUUAAAACAGAAGGACUAAUUCUCCUUAUGCAAGAGUCACAGCAACACACAUCAUUGUAUAAGCCAAAGCAGGCUGUAUGAUUUCAUAGCCAAACAGGGUAUUUCCACAGACAGGCAAUCACGACGUGACUAAUUAGAUACUUGCAUAUGCAUGGCCCCAUUUGUUCCCCAACUGUAAUAAUUAGGAGGAUUGCACUCCACGUUAAUUUACACUCUUGUGUAACACUAUUGAAUAUAAGAUAGCGGGUGGUGAUAAACUGGCUGGUGACAAAUGUGUAAAUCUGAUACAUGUUUUGAAAAUCAGAGCUUUCAUAGUCUACUCUGUCCUUGACUUGGGCAGGGCUGGAGAAGACCUCCUCUGCUGUUGGGCCUGAUCCUCUCUGUCACGGGCAUCCAUGUUAUACUCUUCAACUUAAUAUGCAGAGACACCAGACUCCAUCUUGAAGCUACCCCUAUCAUCAGCUGAUUUUAUGUUCCUCUGCAUGGUUAAAGAUUUCAGAUAAUGUGUAUCAUGAUCAGCUGAAACUCUCACAUUCUACAAGGUCUUUGACUUCAGUUUAAAGAGUAUUUCUCUCUCCUGGCAUAAAGUCCAUUCCAGUCUGUCUCCCCUUGAGCUUUCAUAGGUUACUGCCAAAACCUGCUCAGUCUCAGUUCAGCCAACCCAGCUGUGCCAUACCUGUCAUAGAGAACAGUGUUUUUCCCUGACUGUUCUUCUAGCAUUUCUUUGCACCUUCAUUUCCAAUAAAUCUCUUUUAAUCUGCAGGAUUAGAAGCAGGCACAGUGCUCCAGAUGAGGUGUUGCUAGGGUCUUUCAUGGUGGCAUUAAUACCUUUCUAUUCCUGCUAGAUACACAACAACUAAUAUUUUUUUUUUUAUUUUUUUAUUUUUGUAUUAGAGCUACCUGCUGUCAAUAUCUCAAAAGCCUUGAGGACUGAUUGAAACACCCAACUUACCCUUUUUUUUAUGGAGGCUGAUAGCAGAAGUUCUUCAUUCCUAGUUUAUGACCUUGACCUUUGCACUAUCAUAAUGGUCUUACAUUACAAGGGUGUCAAAAGACUUUUUUAUAAAAGAGUGUAAUCAAUUUCAUCCAAGCCACGGGCUUCCUCUGAAUUUCCUGGCAUGUCCAGAUUUGUUCAGGAACCUCUGUGCCUUGCACGACUAUGGACGUGAGCUGGCACACGCACAUGAUACGGUGCAGGGCGUUACAGGUGAGCUAGCUUAGCUCUCGAAAGAGUUCUCUCUAGUAUUAGGUUACCUCAGGCACAUCACAGGGUAUUAUUUCAGGUAAGCCUUCCGAAAGCUGUACAGUACUUCUGACUCAGUGUUCUGCACUGGCUUUGUUUGACAGCUCUGGGAGCAAGAAACCAAAUUCUGAAACAUUUUUACAGGACUUAGUGUCACAUUAUACUGUUUCUAUUGAUCUUGUAGGUUAAUUUUCAGUUUACAGGUGAUGCCCAUGAAAUUGAAGGGGGAACGGGAUGUACAAGAGUUGUAUGAUACUCUUGAAUAACAUCUAAAAGUAGGAAAUUUUAUUUUUUUCUUAAUAGAAGAAUCUGCAGGAUUUCAGUUGUUCUGCUCUGCUUCUGGAAUUUAAGUAACAUUAUUACUGUCUUUAAUUAAACAAAAAAAAAAAAAUCUGUUUGGGGGUUUUUUUGUUGUUGGUUUUGGCAUUAGUCCAAUAGGACUUUUGUGCCCUUUGUUAUACAGUAUUCCACCCCCACUUCAUUCAAGCAGUACCCCAACUUUGUGCCCUCAGAUGAUCAUUCCUAGGUUAAGGUAGUCAGUGAAAAUAAUUAGUAAGAUCGGUCUGAGAUAAUUCUUUAAGGAAGUCCACUAUAAAUUUUCCUCUAGUUUGAGACUUUCCCUUCAAAACGACUUUGCAAGCUCUUAUUCAUAUUAAGAGUUAAUUUAGCAAUUGCUGUCUUCCUUAGUUUAUUUUUUUUUCAAGUAGCAUAUUAACAAAUGUUUUCCUGAAAUUCAGAUUAGGUCAACCCAUUUCCUUGAUGUAGAAAAGUAAGGUUUGGUGGUUUUUUUGUAAGUGUCUGACUAGUGUGCCAUAAUCCAUUCUUAGGGAAGCUUAGUAGUGUUUUUCUUACUUUCUAUUUAUCCAAUUUUAUCCUAUGCUUCCUCCCAUCCAAGUUCUUGAUGGACAGUCCCAAUUUUUCAUCCUUUUAAACUCUGAUUACUUCUAAAAUCCUAUUUGAGGUGACUGCUCUUCUGCUUGGAUUCAAGGACCAAGUUUUCCCACCCAGAAAUUAAGAAAGUCAGAACAAAACUUAUUACUUCCAUCUAAAGGAUUCGUGGAGAAGCUCACUCACAGAGAUGGUGAUGAAAUAUGGAUUUUCUUGGGGUCUUUAGCAUGUAGCUGAGAAGACCACAGACAUAAGAGCAUCUAAAUCCUGCAAUUUACUGCUCCAAGAUUUUCAUACUUCCUUCUAGUCCAGCCAAGGGCUGAUCAUAUCCUGUAGGUUCUAUAAAGUCUUAAAAAGAGUGUGAACAUAGCUAAACAACUUGGUUAAGGUUGCUACAAGUUAAAAAGCAUCCUUUAAAAACCUGAAGUUAUACUCAAAUGAAGAAAUCAGAAAAGAACAUCCAUGUGGCAGAUUAUAUGUGUAAAACACUAUCAACUGUAUAAAAAAAUUAGUUUGAGGGAAAACUCACUGGCUCAAGUUACUAAUUUUUAGCAAUGGUUCUAGAGAAAGAUACAGUUAAGUACAGACUAUUAGGCCUGAUAACCAAGCCAGGUGAACUAGUUAAAGAAAAGAAUUAGUGACCAAAUGGGUAAGUAAGGGUGACAUAGGGGAAGAAACAGGCAGCUUUUGCAAAGGGAAGCGAUGCCUCAUGAGUCCCUCUGUAUGAGGAGAGGAGAUCUUGUCGACACACUAAGCAGGAAUUAAAAAAAGACAUUCGACAUCUUUUACCGGAGGCUCUCAAAGGAGUUAAGCUGCAUGGGCAAAGAGGCAGCUUCUCACGUGGGCAAACAUCACAUGAAAAGAGAGGAAGCAAAGGUCAGAAAUGAACGUGAUGGGAGUCAAAUAGCAGAGCACCUCCACCAGCAUUGUACAGCAUGCUCAGAAAUGUUCUGUGAAGGGGCAUGAAUAAAAGUUGCAGAGAUUACUGUGAACAUGAAGACAGGAUGAAGGAAGACACUGUGAAGCUGAGUAACUGAGCAACAAAACAGCAGAUGAACCUCAGUGUAGAUAACUUCCCUGUGAUGCACAGGGGGGAAUGACUGGGUCUCAGCUGGCUGCUACCCCUCCUGAGCAGUGUUGUGAGGUUCUAAUAAAUGCUUCCCUGCUUGGCAGUGUUCAAAAAGCAAGCAAAACAUUAGGAAUUAAAAAGAAAGGGACAGAACAAAAUUUUAAAAGACCCUAUUAUUAUGAUGCUGUGUAAAACUUUUCUACCACUUUCCAAGUCUUGCACAUGUUUCUUUGGCCUGGCUGCCUUUAGCAUAAAUGCAUGGCAACACAUGUGUUUAAAAAACAUUGCAAAAUCAAAGCUAGAAAGCCAAUAUCAGACAAACAAACAAAAAAAUCCCACUGUAGUAAAGGAAAACAACAGUUUGCUUCACAGGUUUCUCCUCCAUCUUCAGAAAAGCCAAAAGGAAAAGAAACAGCGUAAGAGGAUAGCCUUGGCACUGCUGGAAACACUCUAAGGGGUGAUGAAGGAAUACUUUGCAAGUUUCAGUUCAGCUUUGCUUCUGACACUCACACUGGUAUUUCUUGACCUCUGAAUGAUCAAGUCCUCUUUCUGCAAGACUCGCCAGGAUUAACCAGAGAACUGAGCAUCACAGAGCCAAGGCACAUCUUACAUCUCACAAAGGAAUUGGGACCAUACGUGGCUGUAUACUCCGGGACAAGAAGCCAAGAAACAUGCCAAAACAGUGCCAAAUUCAAUCCACUUCUGACAUUUCUAGUACAGCUUCAUCCUGAGACUCUUGGAACAUGGGUCGCGGCUGAGACAAGGCAGAGCCAGUGGGAAAAAAAGCUCUGUGGGCUGAGUUGGGCAAACAGAGAUGCCAUGACACAAUGCAGAAGCUGCUGGCAGUGGGAUGAAUCUGUGCACCAGCAAGAGCAGUAUCUACUCCAUCUGGCUUGGGCUCCACAUCAUCCGAGAAGACUUCCUUUUGAACAGGGAGAUUCCAGUCAGGGUGACUCCACCAGUAAAAGAGGUAGCGUCUCAGAUUUGCUUAUCUAAAACUUCUUGAAAGCACCCCUAACUUCCUUGGCAGCAGUAGCCAAACAAGAGCUGUAAAAUACUGUUUUCCCUGGGCUGGUUGAACUCGCAACUCAGCAUAUGUGGUGAGGAGCUCCUAAAAUAGCUCUCAGUUGCCUCACCAGCCUCAGAAGCAACUUGAAAAAUCUUUUGUCUUCUGGGACAACUUGGACAAGUUUUAAAAUGUUUGGACUUAUUUUGAGAGUACUCUGAAAGAUAAGAAUGAUCUAUUCCAAGGCCAGGUGAACUGAAGGUCACAGCUAAGGCAUUGCACAACACAACAAAGUAGGUUCAGCACAAAACUCACAAAGAAUUUGAUCAGCUCAUCAUUGCUGCUGCUGCUGCCCCUGCCUAAAUUCAGGUCAGAGCUUGACCUGGCACCUCACUGGGCCAAACGUUCUCAUCUUUUAUGCCAAAUACCAGUGGGGCAAUGCCAAAGAGGCAGAGGACAUGGGUCCUUUCCUGACAGAGCCUUGUUGGAGAAGUCUUCAGAAAAAAAGCCAAGCAAAACAGCUCAAUUUCUGAGUGGUUGCUGCAGGACAAGUGCGCUCUCACUCUGGGAAGGCUAACACACACUUCAUCCUGGUCAAAGAGUAGUCUCUGACUGGAUCUUGUAAUAUUUCAGGCUAUCUCUAGUUAGGACAAAACCUGAAUAGCUCUUGCUUUGUUAAACAAGGGAUAUCCCCAAGCUGCUCUUUAUUGCUGUUCGCGAAGCCUAGCCAUGACUUCAGCACAGCAUUCCUGUGGGCUCUGCACGGACAACAUGGAGGCUGUCCCCCUGCAGUCAUUUGAAACUCUUCCCUCCCAUAAGGAAAGGCUGCUCUUUCUUGAAAAUAUAAUUUGCUCCUGCAAAACAACUCCAAAAACCCAUAUACAUCUGGGACUUCUCAUCAGGGUGGGAGAAGAGAUUUUUUGCCCACGUCUCAUGUUUCUGAGCGUGCUCCCUAGUGUCUUGGCCAGAGCCUUCAGUAUAGCUUUUUGCCGACUCAGGCUGUUGGUUUUCUUAUCCCAAAUCCCUAACGGGUGGUUUUAAGUACUCCAAGCAUUUUUCAAAGACAGCUUGAAACCUAGCCAAGCCCACAGUGGGGGAGGGAGGGGUAGAGGUGGGUGUGUAACUCUUCUCUGACAGGUCUGCAGUUGGUCUGAUUGUCUCCCAGGUCAGGCGAACUCGUCUGCAAGCUGCAGGGUGCAGCUGCCACCCCAGGGGACAACCCCCCCAUUCCCAAAAUCAAGUGAACUUUGUGAUUUUUUUAGCAGCAGUAAAUGAUCCCACUGGGGGUGAUUUGACCACCAAAACUAUGCUAGCUUGGCUGAAGGGUUGAAGUACAGAGGCCCACGUCAAUAUGGAUUUACAGAUACUAACGGAUGCAGGAUCGAGACCCCUCCCCAGCUCCAGACCCCCCCCCACCUGUUCUCACCUGCUGCUUGGAAAUCACCCCUUCUCCAGGUCCCGUGUUUACACGUCUGUCCAUGACACAAUAAAACAGAGGGAAGGCAAAUGUGCAAUGUAGAGAUCCAUUAUGCUUUAUUUACAUGCGUCACCAUCUCUUUUACAAACUAGAUUACAAUUUAAAAUGGAAUACACAAGGCAAUAUCUACUAACACCAAGUGGAGUAAGCACUGCGUCUCUACUUCAUUUGGAAAGGGGCAGGUUUUGCUCCAAAACAAACUUCCUUUCAACCUCUGAGUAGUAAGGUAAUAUAUUCCUCCAGGGCAGCAUCUUUUUUCUUUUUUUUUUCUUUUUUAAAUAAAAAAUCCUCAGUAAGACUGCAACGUGAGAGUGUCUGCUUUCAAAUGAAAGUACAAGAUAGCCCAAAUGAAAAGUAUAAACUGUUCAGCUCUUCGGUAUGUAAAGACGGCCAUGCGCAAUAAGGCUGUGGAUUUAAUAUUCUUCCAAUUUACAUGGCUUGAAACAGAAACAGAUAAAACAGUUUUACAGAUACUGUAUACAUAUUUUUUCCAAUCAUGCAACUUUUUAAAAAAAAAGUUUAACAUGUGAAGCCAAAUGUACAAUCCAUUUUUUCCAACCCAUAGUAACGAAAUGUAUCUGGUCCCCCUGUGCAUCUGUUGGCAAUUCUAGAAGCGUACUAGAAACACUUACAGGACACCGAUUGCCAAGCAAUGACAUAAUUUUAGAGAAAUACAUAACCUAAAAGGUAACUUUUUUAAGCGGUGGCACAACAAUUUCUAGAGUUAAACAGUGUUUAACGAUCCCAUUAUUCUCAAGAGAAAUUUUUUUUACAAAAUCAUUAAAUCAAGCCCCAAUCUGUGACUAGAAACUGCAUAAAUAACAGCUUUUUAGACCUUUUGUUUAGACCAAGUGUUCAAAUGAUAACCACGUAAUUGUGACCAUGACUUUUAUCUGUUUUACAUGAUUUCACAAUGAAAACUUCUAGGCAUAAACAUGUUCAAAGACUCAAAGGCCAAAUUUUUAGGUUCCCAAAAUUAGCUAUUCAAGUCUGUAUUUUGACACGUAAGUAAGUGGCCCUUUGAAUUCAGUGAGAUUUAUUUAGCACCUCUGGAGUGAAGGACCUUUGCUGGGCACCUCAGCAGGUGUAGAGGAGGAUGACUUUCCCCUGGGCCUGGGGGGACCUGUCACUUCCCCUUCCUUCAAGAAGUGAUGAGGGCAGAGCAGCUCAACCUCUGUGACCACACUGGAGUCCCCAGUGUUCAGUGCCUGACACCAGGCACUUUCACUCGAAAAUUUUGGCCCCAAAAAUGAGCAACAGAAACCAAACCAAGGCCAAGUCCAACCCUCUUCAGCAAGUGCUGGGAUGUUCUCCAAAGCAGGGGCUCAAGGUGUUCCAGCCACACCAAUGGAAAUGCUCUCCUUGACACUGCUGGGAGGCAGGUUAAGCCUUUCAGCUGCUAAUGUUUUGUUACUUUUUUAAAAAAACUUCUCUGCCAUUGCUGGGCUGUCUCUAAAUCAGGUGUUAUUUCUCCAUUUUCUGAACAGAGCAGGCCAUAGUUUUCUCUCUCAUUUCUGACAGCAGGAGCCAGCUCAUUUGAACUCAAGCAGGCUAGGCUGCCAGAACAGAGCAGAAGUUGCCCCCACUUUGUUUAAGCUAACAGGCCUUCCCUUGCCUUUGACAAGAACUUAAUCUGUACCAAGACAAAAAAAAAUUAUGAGUUUUGGUCACCUUGGCCAUACCAUCAAGUCAGGCCUUACCGGAUCUGUCAGUGACCUGGCUGGUGGGUCUUUGGGUAGGCUCCUCGGGUCUUACUGGAGAGGGAUCAUGCAGGGAUCAAAUGCUGCACCCCAGCAUGGGGAGCCACAGAGUGAACUCUGCUGGCGGCCAAAACCACGGGGCCAGGGCACAAGUCCAGCCGCAAGGUGGCAGCUGCAAAGAAGCCUCAGGGAAAGAAGCACUAGAGGGGAGUCCUUCAGCAUACACCCACAUUUUGGGGUGUACUGGGAAGCUGAGAGCUAAUGGUACAUGCUCAGAGGAGGCCAGUGACAAACCCUAGCCCAAUUUCAGUAAAAGGUGCUUGCAACUGGACUCCAAUAAGCAAGGUGCCCAGGUGUGCCACACAAGCAUCCUGGGAGGCUGGCUUCUGAUAGAGAUGGGCAAUGAGCACCAGCCAACUCCAAUGAACGCUAUAAACUAAGCCACACGCUGACAAACAGACCACCUCAGUGUAAAAAGAAGUUUUUUUAAAAGGCAAAUGAUAAACCCUUGGCUGCUUGGAAGAGUUGAUAUGCUACAGGGCUAUGCUAACCACAACUGCACAGAGCCUACACAGUCAUAACUGGGGGGAGAAACCAAGAGGUGCAUCUUUGUGAGAGAACAGCGUGGAGGCUACGGUACAAAAACAAAACUUCCAUCACACUAGGAGCUGUUGUUUCACCUGUAUCACCUCAGGGACCUGGAAAGUAAGGAGUGAGGAAGGGCCCACAAAUGCGCGCAUGUCUGCAUGGUUGUGCAUGUGUGGUGGCAGUGGCGAGAGGGAGUCACUCCACAUUGCAUGGGACACGUGUCGGUGGGAACUCAUGCACUGAGACUUUGGGUUAAAAUGCUAGUUUGUUUUCCUAACAUCCAUGCAUAAUGAUCCAUUUCUGUACAUAAUAAAAUAUAUUUAUAUAUUUAUAUGCAUAAUGCUUUUAUGCAAAGAAAAAAAACUUCAUAUAUCACUUUGGAGAAUUAUGAACACUGUCCUGUUCAGAACCUCUUCAUAUUGAGUUCCUAUGUACCUCUUUUCUUUGUAUCCCUUUCCCCCCAAGAUACUAAUAAAAAGUAAUCAAAUUUCCAGAUUA
Molecule: long non-coding RNA, 14274 nt
Organism: Pipra filicauda (Wire-tailed manakin)
Lineage: Eukaryota; Metazoa; Chordata; Aves; Passeriformes; Pipridae
Exons: 6
Source: RefSeq, a predicted model, not a curated record